This 433-nucleotide ribosomal RNA is filed under the name uncultured bacterium. Its description in RNAcentral is "partial 16S ribosomal RNA". It matches the Rfam family "Bacterial small subunit ribosomal RNA", at positions 29 to 507 of the family's 1533-position model. The record is from RNAcentral.
AACGAACGCUGGCGGCAUGCCUAACACAUGCAAGUCGAACGAGACCUUCGGGUCUAGUGGCGCACGGGUGCGUAACGCGUGGGAACCUGCCCUUAGGUUCGGAAUAACUCCCCGAAAGGGGUGCUAAUACCGGAUAAUGUCUUCGGACCAAAGAUUUAUCGCCUUUGGAUGGGCCCGCGUUGGAUUAGCUAGUUGGUAGGGUAAAAGCCUACCAAGGCGACGAUCCAUAGCUGGUCUGAGAGGAUGAUCAGCCACACUGGGACUGAGACACGGCCCAGACUCCUACGGGAGGCAGCAGUGGGGAAUAUUGGACAAUGGGCGAAAGCCUGAUCCAGCAAUGCCGCGAGAGUGAUGAAGGCCUUAGGGCUGUAAAGCUCUUUUACCCGGGAUGAUAAUGACAGUACCGGGAGAAUAAGCUCCGGCUAACUCCGUG